ACAGAUAGGAAUUGGACUAUGUAGAAUAGAUAUUAGUUUAUUUUUGUAGGAUAUUGAUAAAAUAGACUAAAAAUCCAUAGAAUAGUUAGUUCAAGAGGACGGAUGAUUGAUUUAGUUAUUAAAAGCCAUUAAUUAUGGAUACAUAGUUAGAAUCAAGAAAUCAAGAGUAAUUUUAUAGAAAUUAUAAAAGUUUGUUGGGAUGCUAGACUGUGAUAGUGAUGAGCAGGGAUAAGCUUGGUACUACCUCUUUGUUUCUUUGUUUUCUUUGUUGUUGAAGAAUAAUGGAUAGUUUCUGAAAAUUGAGAAGUGAGUUUGUAGAAUAAAUCAGAGAUUGAUUUAUGAGUUAUUUAUUAUGUAAUUGGAGUACUAAGUGAUUGAAUUAUAUAAGGAGUAAUUGAAAGAUUAUGAUUGUUGUUUAUUGAAAGUUGUGUGUGUUUUGACAGAGAAAGUCUAUCAUUAUAGAUAUUAAGUGAAUUCAGAUUUGUUGGAAUAAAGUCCG
This 499-nucleotide long non-coding RNA is filed under the name Physcomitrium patens. RNAcentral describes it as "long non-coding RNA (PPAT_LNC012493)". The record is from RNAcentral. Lineage: Eukaryota; Viridiplantae; Streptophyta; Bryopsida; Funariales; Funariaceae.